AUACUCUGGUUUCUCUUCAGAACGCAUAAAUCUUUCGCCUUUUCCUAAAGAUUUCCGUGGAGAGAAACAAUUCCGAGUUUUUCGUCAAUUUUUUGAGACCUUGUUUUUACAAGGCU
RNAcentral lists this small nuclear RNA (116 nucleotides) under Physeter macrocephalus (sperm whale). Its description in RNAcentral is "Physeter catodon (sperm whale) U5 spliceosomal RNA (ENSPCTG00005000684.1)". It matches the Rfam family "U5 spliceosomal RNA". From Rfam's summary of the family: U5 RNA is a component of both types of known spliceosome. The precise function of this molecule is unknown, though it is known that the 5' loop is required for splice site selection and p220 binding, and that both the 3' stem-loop and the Sm site are important for Sm protein binding and cap methylation. Lineage: Eukaryota; Metazoa; Chordata; Mammalia; Artiodactyla; Physeteridae. The record is from Rfam by way of RNAcentral.